GACGAACGCUGGCGGCGUGCUUAACACAUGCAAGUCGAACGGAAAGGCCCUGCUUUUGUGGGGUGCUCGAGUGGCGAACGGGUGAGUAACACGUGAGUAACCUGCCCUUGACUUUGGGAUAACUUCAGGAAACUGGGGCUAAUACCGGAUAGGAGCUCCUGCUGCAUGGUGGGGGUUGGAAAGUUUCGGCGGUUGGGGAUGGACUCGCGGCUUAUCAGCUUGUUGGUGGGGUAGUGGCUUACCAAGGCUUUGACGGGUAGCCGGCCUGAGAGGGUGACCGGCGCAGGUGGGGCGGGGGCGCGGCCCCGCCGCGGUGGGGCGGCGGCAGGGGGGAUAAGUGAACAGCGGGGGGACGCCGGAGGCAGCAGGGCUGGGGGGGGGCCGCCGGCCGGGGGGUGGGAAGCCGCUGUCGGGGGUGACGAGGAGGGGGGGACGGUGAGGGGAAAGGAAGCACCGGCUAACUACGUGCCAGCAGCUGCGGUAAUACUCGGCAGGGAACACGUCUGACC
This 509-nucleotide ribosomal RNA is filed under the name uncultured bacterium. RNAcentral's name for it is "partial 16S ribosomal RNA". It matches the Rfam family "Bacterial small subunit ribosomal RNA", at positions 33 to 541 of the family's 1533-position model. The record is from RNAcentral.